UGGUUUUUGCAUAAUCUCCGCCGGGCUAUUGCACAUCCCAAUGGGUUGGUCAUUCAUACAGAUGCCUGCAAAGGUUUAGAAGUGGCCGUGGACAAUGUGUUCCCUGGAGUAGAGCAUAGGGAAUGCAUGCGUCACCUUGCUGCAAAUUUCAUGAAGAAAUUCAAAGGAAAGGUGUAUACCGACAAUUUAUGGCCAGCAUCUUUGACAUGCAGUGUGAAGAAGCACAACUACCACUUGAGGCAGUUAUACAUGAAUCUCAAAGUGAAAGAAUACUUGGAAACACACCACUCCAAGUUAUGGGCCAGAAGCCAAUUCAGUGAAGUGAGCAAAGUUGACUAUGUGCACAAUAAUCUAGCAGAGUCUUUCAACUCAACAAUCCGGAAA
Molecule: ribosomal RNA, 384 nt
Filed under: Triticum aestivum (bread wheat)
Lineage: Eukaryota; Viridiplantae; Streptophyta; Magnoliopsida; Poales; Poaceae
Description: partial small subunit ribosomal RNA
Source: RNAcentral